UAGGCCUACGAAAAUUUACACUUUCAAAACCAAACUUGCAAUUUAGUACUACUUAGGCCU
RNAcentral lists this transfer RNA (60 nucleotides) under Phrynocephalus mystaceus (secret toadhead agama). RNAcentral's name for it is "tRNA-Cys". The record is from RNAcentral. Lineage: Eukaryota; Metazoa; Chordata; Lepidosauria; Squamata; Agamidae.